GCCUUGUUGGCUAAGUGGUAUAGCGUCUCACUAGUAAUAUAGUGUUAUGAGAAGAUCGGCGGUUCGAUUCCGCCACGAGGCA
This 82-nucleotide transfer RNA is filed under the name Colletotrichum zoysiae. RNAcentral's name for it is "tRNA-Thr". It matches the Rfam family "tRNA". From Rfam's summary of the family: Transfer RNA (tRNA) molecules are approximately 80 nucleotides in length. The record is from RNAcentral. Lineage: Eukaryota; Fungi; Ascomycota; Sordariomycetes; Glomerellales; Glomerellaceae.